RNAcentral lists this ribosomal RNA (2923 nucleotides) under Klebsiella pneumoniae. RNAcentral describes it as "23S ribosomal RNA". It matches the Rfam family "Bacterial large subunit ribosomal RNA". The record is from RNAcentral. Lineage: Bacteria; Pseudomonadati; Pseudomonadota; Gammaproteobacteria; Enterobacterales; Enterobacteriaceae.
GGGUUGUGAGGUUAAGCGACUAAGCGUACACGGUGGAUGCCCUGGCAGUCAGAGGCGAUGAAGGACGUGCUAAUCUGCGAAAAGCGUCGGUAAGGUGAUAUGAACCGUUAUAGCCGGCGAUGUCCGAAUGGGGAAACCCAGUGCAAUUCGUUGCACUAUCGUUAACUGAAUACAUAGGUUAACGAGGCGAACCGGGGGAACUGAAACAUCUAAGUACCCCGAGGAAAAGAAAUCAACCGAGAUUCCCCCAGUAGCGGCGAGCGAACGGGGAGCAGCCCAGAGUCUGAAUCAGCUUGUGUGUUAGUGGAACGGUCUGGAAAGUCCGACGGUACAGGGUGAUAGUCCCGUACACCAAAAUGCACAGGUUGUGAACUCGAAGAGUAGGGCGGGACACGUGGUAUCCUGUCUGAAUAUGGGGGGACCAUCCUCCAAGGCUAAAUACUCCUGACUGACCGAUAGUGAACCAGUACCGUGAGGGAAAGGCGAAAAGAACCCCGGCGAGGGGAGUGAAAAAGAACCUGAAACCGUGUACGUACAAGCAGUGGGAGCACCUUCGGGUGUGACUGCGUACCUUUUGUAUAAUGGGUCAGCGACUUAUAUUCUGUAGCAAGGUUAACCGUAUAGGGGAGCCGCAGGGAAACCGAGUCUUAACUGGGCGUUAAGUUGCAGGGUAUAGACCCGAAACCCGGUGAUCUAGCCAUGGGCAGGUUGAAGGUUGGGUAACACUAACUGGAGGACCGAACCGACUAAUGUUGAAAAAUUAGCGGAUGACUUGUGGCUGGGGGUGAAAGGCCAAUCAAACCGGGAGAUAGCUGGUUCUCCCCGAAAGCUAUUUAGGUAGCGCCUCGUGAAUUCAUCUUCGGGGGUAGAGCACUGUUUCGGCUAGGGGGUCAUCCCGACUUACCAACCCGAUGCAAACUACGAAUACCGAAGAAUGUUAUCACGGGAGACACACGGCGGGUGCUAACGUCCGUCGUGAAGAGGGAAACAACCCAGACCGCCAGCUAAGGUCCCAAAGUCAUGGUUAAGUGGGAAACGAUGUGGGAAGGCACAGACAGCCAGGAUGUUGGCUUAGAAGCAGCCAUCAUUUAAAGAAAGCGUAAUAGCUCACUGGUCGAGUCGGCCUGCGCGGAAGAUGUAACGGGGCUAAACCAUGCACCGAAGCUGCGGCAGCGACACUAUGUGUUGUUGGGUAGGGGAGCGUUCUGUAAGCCUGCGAAGGUGACCUGUGAGGGUUGCUGGAGGUAUCAGAAGUGCGAAUGCUGACAUAAGUAACGAUAAAGCGGGUGAAAAGCCCGCUCGCCGGAAGACCAAGGGUUCCUGUCCAACGUUAAUCGGGGCAGGGUGAGUCGACCCCUAAGGCGAGGCCGAAAGGCGUAGUCGAUGGGAAACAGGUUAAUAUUCCUGUACUUGGUGUUACUGCGAAGGGGGGACGGAGAAGGCUAUGUUAGCCGGGCGACGGUUGUCCCGGUUUAAGCAUGUAGGCUGAUUGUCCAGGCAAAUCCGGAUAAUCAAGGCUGAGGUGUGAUGACGAGGCACUACGGUGCUGAAGUAACAAAUGCCCUGCUUCCAGGAAAAGCCUCUAAGCAUCAGGUAACAUUAAAUCGUACCCCAAACCGACACAGGUGGUCAGGUAGAGAAUACCAAGGCGCUUGAGAGAACUCGGGUGAAGGAACUAGGCAAAAUGGUGCCGUAACUUCGGGAGAAGGCACGCUGGUGUGUAGGUGAAGUCCCUGCGGAUGGAGCUGAGACCAGUCGAAGAUACCAGCUGGCUGCAACUGUUUAUUAAAAACACAGCACUGUGCAAACACGAAAGUGGACGUAUACGGUGUGACGCCUGCCCGGUGCCGGAAGGUUAAUUGAUGGGGUUAUCCGUAAGGAGAAGCUCUUGAUCGAAGCCCCGGUAAACGGCGGCCGUAACUAUAACGGUCCUAAGGUAGCGAAAUUCCUUGUCGGGUAAGUUCCGACCUGCACGAAUGGCGUAAUGAUGGCCAGGCUGUCUCCACCCGAGACUCAGUGAAAUUGAACUCGCUGUGAAGAUGCAGUGUACCCGCGGCAAGACGGAAAGACCCCGUGAACCUUUACUAUAGCUUGACACUGAACAUUGAGCCUUGAUGUGUAGGAUAGGUGGGAGGCUUUGAAGCGUGGACGCCAGUCUGCGUGGAGCCAACCUUGAAAUACCACCCUUUAAUGUUUGAUGUUCUAACGUUGGCCCCUGACCGGGGUUGCGGACAGUGUCUGGUGGGUAGUUUGACUGGGGCGGUCUCCUCCCAAAGCGUAACGGAGGAGCACGAAGGUUAGCUAAUCCUGGUCGGACAUCAGGAGGUUAGUGCAAUGGCAUAAGCUAGCUUGACUGCGAGCGUGACGGCGCGAGCAGGUGCGAAAGCAGGUCAUAGUGAUCCGGUGGUUCUGAAUGGAAGGGCCAUCGCUCAACGGAUAAAAGGUACUCCGGGGAUAACAGGCUGAUACCGCCCAAGAGUUCAUAUCGACGGCGGUGUUUGGCACCUCGAUGUCGGCUCAUCACAUCCUGGGGCUGAAGUAGGUCCCAAGGGUAUGGCUGUUCGCCAUUUAAAGUGGUACGCGAGCUGGGUUUAGAACGUCGUGAGACAGUUCGGUCCCUAUCUGCCGUGGGCGCUGGAGAAUUGAGGGGGGCUGCUCCUAGUACGAGAGGACCGGAGUGGACGCAUCACUGGUGUUCGGGUUGUCAUGCCAAUGGCACUGCCCGGUAGCUAAAUGCGGAAGAGAUAAGUGCUGAAAGCAUCUAAGCACGAAACUUGCCCCGAGAUGAGUUCUCCCUGAGACUUUAAGUCUCCUGAAGGAACGUUAAAGACGAUGACGUUGAUAGGCCGGGUGUGUAAGCGCAGCGAUGCGUUGAGCUAACCGGUACUAAUGAACCGUGAGGCUUAACCUUACAACGCCGAAG